GUCUUCCUCUUCCUCCUGCUCCGGCCAUAUAGGACGUGCUGGCUUCCCCUUCGCCUUCUGCCGUCAUUGUGAGCCGUGGGGAGGCCUUGAGCGCCCCCUGGAGGUGACACUCUGCCACUACACAUAGGAAACCACCUGGAAACCCAACCACAGUGUCUGAUGUGACUUUUCUUAGUGACAGGAAAUUAGGAUGAGCACGAGCAAAGUCGGUGGUCACAAGGGAGCAGCCAGGCCAGUCCUGCUUAAACUCCUGCUGUUACAUGUUUGCGAUUGAACUCGUAGCAAGCUGCCGAUGGAACACAACCUGCCUCCGGCACAGACGCCGAUCUUCAAUCCCUUCUCCCCAGCACCGGUGACAGCCCUAGUCAUCCUUCAAGGCCCAGUUCAAAUGCCUCCAUCUCCAUACCAUUUCAGUUCGUGGUUGGGGAUAGGAGCUCCCGUCGCGAUCGUCAUCUUUCUGCUGCAGACAGAUUUUGUUUCCCUCUGUAAAGUUGGAGUGCAGGGGACAAGGCUCUGAACAUAGCAUUUAAGUGACAGAGAUGGUUGUGGUCAUGUCCCAGUAUGUAUUUAUCUAUCUCCUGCUCCAGUAAAUGUCACACUCCCCGGGGCAGCGAGGGUGUCACCAUCUCGGUGUCCCCACAGCACCUAGCACAGUCUCCCAGACGAUCCAGGGCAGACCCUUCGCAUGGGAACGCAAGUCCCUGUUUGUCCGGGUCACUCAGGUUUACGCCUAUUGUCCUGUAAUUAUUUAUGCACCCUCUUUUGCUGUCAUAGGUGUUGGGUUGGAACAGUCACCCUAUUUAGCACACACCUAUUAAGCCAAAGCACCUUAGUGUGUAGGCUUCCCUCACCCAAACCUGUUCCCAAAGGUCCUUUCUCACCGGCUACUUUGGGGGCCCCAGUAAUCUUCCCGACCCCUCUGGUCAGGGCCAGAGUGGGGAGCAAGUGUCUAAAGCAAGGCCUUCAACAAGGUCCCUUCCCUGAGAGACUCAGUUUGUGACGCUUGUGAUUGUGAAGCUCAAAUGGAUUAUGUGACUCCACAUAACUCUGCAAACUGUGGUGCGCCCUAUUAUUGCCGUUUAACUUGUCAGUGUCGGUUCUGCACCCCUGCAGGCUCUGUAGGGGCUGGAGAAGAACACUUGAUUUGGAAUUUCGGUAAUAGCCAGUGAGCUAAGAACCACAUAAAAUAAUGCAGAUCAUA
Molecule: long non-coding RNA, 1201 nt
Filed under: Homo sapiens (human)
Lineage: Eukaryota; Metazoa; Chordata; Mammalia; Primates; Hominidae
Description: uncharacterized LOC100506405, transcript variant 2 (LOC100506405)
Source: RNAcentral